AGUGAGCGCUGGCGGUAGGCCUAACACAUGCAAGUCGAACGGCAGCACAGUAAGAGCUUGCUCUUACGGGUGGCGAGUGGCGGACGGGUGAGGAAUACAUCGGAAUCUACUUUUUCGUGGGGAUAACGUAGGGAAACUUACGCUAAUACCGCAUACGACCUACGGGUGAAAGCAGGGGAUCUUCGGACCUUGCGCGAUUGAAUGAGCCGAUGUCGGAUUAGCUAGUUGGCGGGGUAAAGGCCCACCAAGGCGACGAUCCGUAGCUGGUCUGAGAGGAUGAUCAGCCACACUGGAACUGAGACACGGUCCAGACUCCUACGGGAGGCAGCAGUGGGGAAUAUUGGACAAUGGGCGCAAGCCUGAUCCAGCCAUACCGCGUGGGUGAAGAAGGCCUUCGGGUUGUAAAGCCCUUUUGUUGGGAAAGAAAAGCAGCAGGUUAAUACCCCGCUGUUCUGACGGUACCCAAAGAAUAAGCACCGGCUAACUUCGU
Molecule: ribosomal RNA, 490 nt
Filed under: uncultured bacterium
Lineage: Bacteria
Description: partial 16S ribosomal RNA
Rfam family: Bacterial small subunit ribosomal RNA
Source: RNAcentral